GACGAACGCUGGCGGCGUGCUUAACACAUGCAAGUCGAACGGAAAGGCCCUGCUUUUGUUGGGUGCUCGAGUGGCGAACGGGUGAGUAACACGUGAGUAACCUGUCCUUGACUUUGUGAUAACUUCACGAAACUCGGGCUAUUACCGGAUAGGAUCUCCUGCUGCAUGGUGGUGGUUGGAAAGAUUCGGCGGUUGUGGCUGGUCUCGCGGCUUAUGAGCUUGAUGGUGAAGUAGUGGCGUACCAAGGCUUCGACGGAUAGGCGGCCUGGGAGGGGAGCCGGGCACAUGAGGACUACGGUACGCACCAGACGGGAACGGGAGGCAGCGGUGGGGAAUAUUGCACAGUAGGGCGAAGCGUGAGACGGAAGCCCCGGGUGCGGAAUGACGGCCUUCGGGUUAUAAACAGCUGUCGCCUGAGACGAGGCGUGAGUGACGGUAAUGGGUAAAAAAGCACCGGCUAACUACGUG
This 468-nucleotide ribosomal RNA is filed under the name uncultured bacterium. RNAcentral's name for it is "partial 16S ribosomal RNA". It matches the Rfam family "Bacterial small subunit ribosomal RNA", at positions 28 to 507 of the family's 1533-position model. The record is from RNAcentral.